RNAcentral lists this ribosomal RNA (494 nucleotides) under uncultured bacterium. RNAcentral describes it as "partial 16S ribosomal RNA". It matches the Rfam family "Bacterial small subunit ribosomal RNA", at positions 28 to 507 of the family's 1533-position model. The record is from RNAcentral.
GACGAACGCUGGCGGCGCGCUUAACACAUGCAAGUCGAACGGAAAGGCCUGCUUUCCCUUGUGGAUUGCGGGUACUCGAGUGGCGAACGGGUGAGUAACACGUGAGUGAUCUGCCCCCAACUUGGGUAUAAGCCUGGGAAACUGGGUCUAAUUCCCGAUAGGACUGCAGGGUGGUGCCUGUGGUGGAAAACGAUUUUCUAGUGGUUGGGGAUGAGCUCGCGGCCUAUCAGCUUGUUGGUGGGGUAAUGGCCUACCAAGGCGGCGACGGGUAGCCGGCCUGAGGGGGUGGACGGCCACAUUGGGACUGAGAUACGGCCCAGACUCCUACGGGAGGCAGCAGUGGGGAAUAUUGCACAAGGGGCGGAAGCCUGAUGCAGCGACGCCGCGUGGGGGAUGACGGCCUUCGGGUUGUAAACUCCUUUCGACCGCGAGGAAGCCACCUGGUUGGAAGGGUGGUGACGGUAGUGGUAGAAGAAGCACCGGCUAACUACGUG